This 2370-nucleotide long non-coding RNA is filed under the name Nicotiana tabacum (common tobacco). Its description in RNAcentral is "long non-coding RNA (NTAB_LNC006903)". The record is from RNAcentral. Lineage: Eukaryota; Viridiplantae; Streptophyta; Magnoliopsida; Solanales; Solanaceae.
GGCAAUCCGCUAGGCAAGCGCCUAGGGCUAGUUUUUAUUUAUAACAAAAAAGAAAAAUACAACAAUUAGGAAAAGUAAAAAUAAGGGGGACAAUAGCACCGGUCUUGUUACCCAUAUAACACAAAUCGGGCUAACAUUACCUUACUAAUCCUAUUGAGGCUUGCAAAAAUAGAACUACACUUUAUGAAUUAUUACAUAGAUCCUAAAAAUAGAAUAACAAUGACAAUUGAAUUAGGUAAAGAACUUUUGGCAUGAGAUCAACACUCCAAAUACUGGAGUACACACAUAUUUCUGGUGUUCCCUUCUUUGCUUCAAUAUCUAUUGGUUUAGCCAAAUCAGUUACCAAUUGAAACCUAAAUUAGAGCUAUGUGUGUAGUUACCACUGGGGCUUUCCAACUAUCAUGAAAAACCAAUAGUUACUACAGAUAAGAUUUUACAACUUAAACAAAUACUUUAUCAUAUUCUCUAAUUCUAACUGAUAACAAAGUAGAAACUUCAUGGCUAAAGAAUAAAUUGUAUAGAUGAGAAACUUCAUACAGAUUUGCAAAUAACUUCAGCUAAACAAAUUUCAAUCGUUAUUUAACAUGAUGUACACAGUAACUUAGCUCAUAUCCAAAACUGUAUUCUAACAAUACCAAAACAAACACAAUUUGAUAAACACCAAACAAUAGUCAUAAUACUGAAACUUGACAGGGUAACAAACACCUUCAAACAAACUGAAAUUUACAUUAUCUAAAUAGGAGUAAUACCUCAGUAGCAGAAAGAAACGAAAGAAAUAGAAAAUAAGUCUCUAAACUUGGCGAUAAUAGCAAGAAACCAAAUAGCAGCAGAAAAACAACAGGAAUAAAGAAACAACCAGCAAAUGAAGCUAAAGAGAACCCAACUUCAAAAACCCGGAAAGUUUUUCUACUUAGAGAUGAAGAUGAAUGUAAUUUCUGAAAAUGUAGUCAAUCUCUGUGUAAAAACAGUCUUCAAAAUGAAGAAAAAGAGUGUCAAUUUUUAGAGUGUAUUUUCUGUGUGUGAAGUCUGUCUCAAAAUGAAAGGAACUACCAGGUUUUUCAGGGAUUAUCUCUCUGUAUUUCUGUAGAGAAUUCCUCUCUUAUAUAGAAUAUAUGAAUGCCUUAAGAUAGAGAUGAGGGGGGAUAAAAGGGAAUUUGUCAUCCCUCCCUAAAAUUCAGGAAAAUAGCAUCUUUUCUAACAGAUUGGGACAAUUGUCCCUUUCUAGAAGUUUUUUCUUAUUUUUUCAGCUCCUUAACUUCUGAUUUUAACCCUUUUACCCCAAAUUUUGACCUAAACUUUGAUUUUUAAUAUACUUUAGUCCCUUCUAGAGACUUUCCCAAACAACCAAAUCAGAUUCCCUAAUUUUUCAAAUCCCUUUGACCCCUUUAGCUUUUGAAAAUUAAUUCUUUUGACCCCAAUUUGACCUAAUACAAUUAUGCAAUUGCAUUUUAGUCCUUCCUCUAGAAACUUUCUAACAAAGCUGCCAGAUUCCUUAAGGUAAUAAGAAUUAUUUCACUAGAUUUUCUAGCAAAAUCUUUAGAUCAGAAAAAUAGCGGGUCAUCACAACAUGGGCUCAAAACACACUGAUCUUCUUUAUUCUAUCAUAUUCAAUGAUUACCUAGACCCAACCCCCUUCUAAUUAUGAACCUAAAACCAAUUAAGAUAAAAAAAAUUCAAACACUAACACAUAGGGAAUUGACAUCAGGAUCUAAACAAACUAAUCCAUAUGAUAAAAAUAAUCAAUUUAAGUGAAAUCGAACAAGAGUGUUCUUAAUCCUAAUGUCAAUUAAUUCAAGAAUUAAACAAGUUCAUUCUUCAAAUAUGGCAGAUAUAAACAACAAUGUUAUAAAGGUAAAAAUGCAUGAAUGAACAAAGAAUGAGAGUAUACCUACUGCAUACAAAUCCAGCGAACUAAGAGAACAAAUGCAGAAUCCAAGUGAGCCGGAGAAAUUGCCACAUUAACACUAGCCAAUUCUCCAUGCAAGUCCAUGUUAUAUGUGACAAUAUCUCCUACUGGCUGGAAAAUGGGAGAACAAGGCGAGAUAGUUCCAGGCUUUGACACAAAGUGAAGCUACCAGGAAAUGUCAAUACUCACUAUUAUGGACUUUUGUGUAACAUUAACCUUUAAAUGAGUAACGAUUAAAGAGGAAAAAGAGAUUUUGGAUUUUCUUGAAUUUCUAAUCCUAAAAUCAUGAAUUUUGGAUGGGGUUUGGAAGAAAUGGUCAAUGAAUUGGGAUGAGGGAGUGAUGAAAAGUAUCUGGUGAGAAUUUGGGGCGAUUUGGAGCUAAACCACCGGCGGAGACGAUUUCCGAUGGGUGGCUCGGCGACUGAAGUUAAGAGAAGUGAGGGAGAUGGUUUUUGGGGUAUAUC